Dermacentor silvarum is the source of this 1238-nucleotide long non-coding RNA. RefSeq lists it as uncharacterized. The transcript has 3 exons. The record is from RefSeq and is a predicted model, not a curated record. NCBI's taxonomy places the organism in Eukaryota, Metazoa, Arthropoda, Arachnida, Ixodida, Ixodidae.
CGCAGUUGCUCGUGAAGCCGGCCAGCUUUCUUACCCAUGCACACGUUCAACCCAACAACUUAGAGAAAAUUAAAGUGUGCAGGGCGAGACAAAUAUUUUCUCUCCCAACAAUAGCUACGCUUGAAUUUCUUCACGAAAACCCCGAAUGACAUUCGGACGCAAGCGAAUUCAGAAACAGCACUACAACAAUCAGUUUCAUGAAGAUGAUCGCGAAAUGGUAUGCCCUUCAUGAUAUCGGGGCCGUGAAGGCACGCGGACUGCAUGAGGAACCAUUUUACACGACAGACGAUGAAAGGCUAUCUUGGGUGGAACUACAUUUCGUGUGCUGCCUUGAAUACCUCUAUGUGCAAGGCGGCCGGUCAAAGCGAAUAAUGAAAAAGACGUACGAAGCGACACUCCUCAAUACAGGAUCAACAGUGGCACUGAUUGAAUACCUUCUUUACCAUAUCAAGUAGGUGUUCACUUUUUUGUCGCCUCAGCUUCGCUUUUUUUAAUAAUGUGUUAUAUAGGUUACUUUCUAAAUUUCAGUUACCGCUAUGUCUUGACACGUGGCCUGAACAACGACCCCAUAUAGUAACUGUUUAGCUGCCUCCGGCAGUUUAACGGCGGCAACGACAGAGUGGCAGGACUGCUGUGUUCACUGUGGAGAAACUGCUCAAGGUUGACAUUCUUCAAGCAGCUAAGGGUCCAAACGCGCCACUUUCUUCCGAAAUGGAGGCACCCGUGCGGUUGUCCGUUCCAGAUGCUAACACAUGUACCCUACCAGCUACUGCUGAGCGUGUUACCACGGAGCUUUCCAGUGCCAUGCGAGUGGUGCAAUGCCCUGCUCCAAACAUCAGAAGCAACAGGAUCACUCAACGAUCUCAUCAGAAAGAUGGACAAUGGAGGCUUGGCGUACCCAUGAAUGGAAGUGGCCGGGCUUUGCAAGUUCUCCAGCAUCUUUGUUCUGCGCGUUAUAAAGGCAGACGACGUCAGUAAAAGCAGCAAGUUAUGCCACCUUCUGACGUCAGCCUUGCUUCCAUAUCUAACUCACUGUGGACAAUUCAUACGUGAAAGAAACGACCACGCUCACACUGAAGAGUCUUUCAAAGUAUUCUUCAAAAAGUUGCUGCGGCCUCUUAUAGCGAAUUGGGCUGGGAAUCCAAAUGCAACUGUAGAGCGAGUUUGGACGCUGUCGCAUAAACCUCUGUCAAGGAAGGAUUUCCGCCUGUGAAUUAGCUCUUCGGUAUUUACAAUAA